This 73-nucleotide transfer RNA is filed under the name Schinkia azotoformans. RNAcentral describes it as "tRNA-Ala". It matches the Rfam family "tRNA". From Rfam's summary of the family: Transfer RNA (tRNA) molecules are approximately 80 nucleotides in length. Their secondary structure includes four short double-helical elements and three loops (D, anti-codon, and T loops). RNAcentral also lists the same sequence under 1 other name. Lineage: Bacteria; Bacillati; Bacillota; Bacilli; Caryophanales; Bacillaceae. The record is from RNAcentral.
GGGGGCAUAGCUCAGCUGGGAGAGCGCUUGCAUGGCAUGCAAGAGGUCGUCGGUUCGAUCCCGAUUGUCUCCA